GAGUUUGAUCCUGGUUCAGGACGAACGCUGGCGGCGUGCCUAACACAUGCAAGUCGAGCGAUGAAACCCCUUCGGGGGUGGAUUAGCGGCGGACGGGUGAGUAACACGUGGGUAACCUGCCUCAAAGUGGGGGAUAGCCUUCCGAAAGGAAGAUUAAUACCGCAUAAAGCCAAGUUUCACAUGGAAUUUGGAUGAAAGGAGUAAUUCGCUUUGAGAUGGACCCGCGGCGCAUUAGUUAGUUGGUGGGGUAAUGGCCUACCAAGACAGCGAUGCGUAGCCGACCUGAGAGGGUGAUCGGCCACAUUGGAACUGAGAUACGGUCCAGACUCCUACGGGAGGCAGCAGUGGGGAAUAUUGCACAAUGGGCGAAAGCCUGAUGCAGCAACGCCGCGUGAGUGAUGAAGUCUUCGGAUUGUAAAGCUCUGUCUUUUGGGACGAUAAUGACGGUACCAAAGGAGGAAGCCACGGCUAACUACGUGCCAGCAGCCGCGGUAAUACGUAGGUGGCGAGCGUUGUCCGGAUUUACUGGGCGUAAAGGGUGCGUAGGCGGAUGUUUAAGUGAGAUGUGAAAUACCCGGGCUUAACUUGGGUGCUGCAUUUCA
Molecule: ribosomal RNA, 602 nt
Filed under: uncultured Clostridium sp.
Lineage: Bacteria; Bacillati; Bacillota; Clostridia; Eubacteriales; Clostridiaceae
Description: bacterial SSU rRNA
Rfam family: Bacterial small subunit ribosomal RNA
Source: RNAcentral